UAUUAAAAAUUUCAUUCUUUUGUAUUAUUAAAAACUGGCAUGAUUGACGAAAUAACUAGACAGUGACAUAUGACGUGCCUCGUGUACCUCAUGUUAACGUAAAGAGACCAACUUUUAAAAGCAGAAAUGGAUGAAAUUUUUUAUA
RNAcentral lists this microRNA precursor (145 nucleotides) under Gossypium hirsutum (cotton). RNAcentral describes it as "MIR7502 microRNA precursor family". It matches the Rfam family "MIR7502 microRNA precursor family". Lineage: Eukaryota; Viridiplantae; Streptophyta; Magnoliopsida; Malvales; Malvaceae. The record is from Rfam by way of RNAcentral.